RNAcentral lists this ribosomal RNA (659 nucleotides) under Salmonella enterica subsp. enterica serovar Schwarzengrund. Its description in RNAcentral is "bacterial LSU rRNA". It matches the Rfam family "Bacterial large subunit ribosomal RNA", at positions 109 to 710 of the family's 2925-position model. Lineage: Bacteria; Pseudomonadati; Pseudomonadota; Gammaproteobacteria; Enterobacterales; Enterobacteriaceae. The record is from RNAcentral.
GAUACCCGAAUGGGGAAACCCAGUGUGAUGCGACACACUAUGAUUAACUGAAUCCAUAGGUUAAUGAGGCGAAGCGGGGGAACUGAAACAUCUAAGUGCCCCGAGGAAAAGAAAUCAGCCGAGAUGCCCCCAGUAGCGGAGAGCGAACGGGGAGGGGCCCAGAGGCUGAAUCAGCAUGUGUGUUAGUGGAAGCGUCUGGAAAGGCGCGCGAUACAGGGUGACAGCCCCGUACACAAAAGCGCAUGUGCUGUGAGCUCGAUGAGUAGGGCGGGACACGUGGUAUCCUGUCUGAAUAUGGGGGGACCAUCCUCCAAGGCUAAAUACUCCUGACUGACCGAUAGUGAACCAGUACCGUGAGGGAAAGGCGAAAAGAACCCCGGCGAGGGGAGUGAAAAAGAACCUGAAACCGUGUACGUACAAGCAGUGGGAGCCCCACCACUAAGCCAGUGGUGAACUCCACAUACGCAUCCUUUGCUGAGGAUACGGUUAACGGAGCGAAAGCGACGUUCAACCUCAAAAGAAGCAGAGGGGGCUUAGUGGUGGGGUGACUGCGUACCUUUUGUAUAAUGGGUCAGCGACUUAUAUUCUGUAGCAAGGUUAACCGAAUAGGGGAGCCGGAGGGAAACCGAGUCUUAACCGGGCGUUAAGUUGCAGGGUAU